RNAcentral lists this long non-coding RNA (1006 nucleotides) under Serinus canaria (Common canary). Its description in RNAcentral is "lncRNA (ENSSCAG00000005378.1)". Lineage: Eukaryota; Metazoa; Chordata; Aves; Passeriformes; Fringillidae. The record is from RNAcentral.
GCCACUCAGCGGCGCCGCGACACGGCACCGACGCCACACUGCCAGCCGCCCCCAGCGACAACUCCGCUUCGCCCAGCCCCUCCACGUGCACGCGCGACAGCUAUUGGGCAGGAAGGGUGUCAGUCGUGCAGCUCACGAAGCUCAUUGGCCAUUAGCCGACGCCUGCGCAGCCCACCGGAGACCGCCUGCCUGAUGUCACCCGCCGGAUGACACAGCAACCGUGGGCUGGGGCUGGGGAAAGGCAGGGCUGUGUCUUUGAUUGCAUAUUUGAGGGCUCCUGUUCCAGUGAUGAGUGUCACUUCCUGACCUCGCCCAGGGCUGCGAGCGUGUGCAGCGUUUCCAUUUGAUCUCCUCGGGAGAAUCCUGUUACAGCCUGACCAGCAGAGUCCUGGAGGAGCUGAACACAGAACUCUAGGGAUGUGAUGUGCCUGUCACCUUAGUAAAUGGGUCUGUGGGUGUUUGGGGAAAACGUGUUCUUGUCUUGAAAGAGCCACAGAGCCCUUCACAGGUUAGUCACCAGCAGGAGGGAGGAGGGACAGCUGCUAGCACAGCAAAGCCACUUGUGCUGGUGGCACAGACCCCAGACAAGACCCCUGCAAACUCAGUACACAAGUCAAAGAGCAGUGAAUCUUUUGAUGGCUUUACCAUUCAGUAAUGGUAAUUGAUUUUUGCAUUGAUUGGUGGUAAAAGAGCCCCAUUAAUAUGAAUAAGAUUUCAUACUUGAUGUAUACAUACCUGUUACUGUGGUGUUGUAAGGAAUACAAAAGGCUCUUACAAAUCAAUAUGAAUUAGUAAUAUAACUUUUGGAUGCACUUUGCCUCUCUUCCUCAUUGUUUAUUCAAUGUGUGGGAACUGUCUGUAUCCUGUCUAUGCACAAGGAAUUUUCAUGUUGUAAGCAGAAAUCACUAACACACCAAGAGUACAGGUUGCACACUUUGGGAGAGAAGGAUAUGUCUCAGAUGCUGACCCUGUCUUUGUCAUAAGUGAAAAACCAAUAAAAUAAUUU